AAUUACACCAUUAGCAGAAUGCCUGGAUGAGCUUCCUAUUCCCUUAUCCAGCGUUUAUGGUCAUCUAAGAGGAGAACCACCGUUCACAAAUUGCACCCCUGACUUCACAAAUACACUUGAUUAUAUAUUCUUUUCCCCUGAUGAGAAAAUAAAACCAGUCAGUUUCCUAGAACUUCCAGAACCAAAUUCGCCUGAUGUUCUUGGCGGAUUACCAAACUAUAGCCAUCCAAGUGACCAUCUACCGAUUGGUGCUGAAUUUGAAAUCUCCAGGGAAUAAUGUUAGUCACAAAGCUAAUUUCAAUCUGAUUUCUUAUUUAUGUUUUUUUUUUCACAGUUGUCCUUUUACUACAAGCAUUCAUAUGUUCCUUUUUGGAUAGAACAAGAUAUUUUUUACUUUAUUUUGGAGGUUUCAUUUGUUUGAAUAUUUGAUUUGAUUUCAAGGAUUAAUAAGCAACACUUUUAGGAUCAAUAACCAAAAUUUUUUUUACGAGCGAGCUAAAAAAUGUUGGAGCAGAGCCGUCAGUGUGAGUUUGUGUUGAUGGUGUUACUCAAAACAGCAGCGAAGUGAAGUUAAAACUACAGUUUUUUUCUAAACUUCAAGUUAAACCUAUUGUGCUCUUAAAGUUUUAUUUUUAUUAUUAUUAUUAUUAUACCCCUUGCCAUACUGGAAUGCCAGAGUGUGUGUUCAAAUGCUCAGAAGCGAGCGAACCUAAGGAAUGGGUCCAACAUAGCAAGAUAGACGUUAUAUCUUCAAAAUGGUACUUCACCAAAAAUGAUAAGGCAAUUCCAUUUCCAAAUUCUAUCUAUAAACAAAAACUACAGAAUUCCUUCAUAAAAAUUUUCCACUGAAACAUAUUUGUCUUGAGAAUGAUUAGAAAAUUAAGUUACAAACUAAACUAAAUAGAAUUAUAUCAGCAUAUAGAAUUUCUUGAUUGGAAAUCAAAUAUAUUCCAAAGAAAAUGACUAAGUAUCAAUAAGACUAGCUCUGUAAUACAUACAUACAUUGAAAAAGGGAGUUGCUUUGAAAUGAAAAAAAAAAAAAACCUUUUGUUAUCUAGAAAAACUCGUUAUCUCUCCACAGUUCAAUCCUAUCAAAUUACUUUCUCUCUCCUAUAAUUGGUUUCACCGCUGCUAAAGAAGAUGAUGAGAUAGAGAGAUAAAAAUAGGUGGAGAAAGAAAAAUGGAAAUAGAAAGCAAGAGGUAGAAGUGGACAUGCAACUCAGCUCAUCACUAAUCACAAGAAGGACAUUAAACUUUAUUUAGAGAAAAAAAUUCAAUUGAACACAACGUCAGAUCUUACCUUGAUUUUUUGGGAUUCAAAUUGGGUAAAAAUUGAAUCUCUCUCAAAUUCACUUCCUUCAAUUGGGUGUAUUAAUUUAUUGGGGGUGAAGAUGGUAAAACCCUAAAAAAAAAUGAUCUAGGAAGCAAGAGACAGAAGAGCGAUUAUUUAGCACUCUGAGAGAUUGAUAUAGCGAGAGAAGGAGAUGAGAGGAAGAGACUGAUGAGUAUUGAAAAAAAUUCCUCAGAGAAACAGAAGAGGAAGAGAGCAUGUGAGGUGGCGUAUACGUGUUGUUAUUUUUACCAAGUCAGAGCAUUUGUGCUGUACGCAUUUCCUUA
Molecule: long non-coding RNA, 1617 nt
Filed under: Jatropha curcas
Lineage: Eukaryota; Viridiplantae; Streptophyta; Magnoliopsida; Malpighiales; Euphorbiaceae
Description: long non-coding RNA (JCUR_LNC002534)
Source: RNAcentral